AUGCACGCUGGCGGCAUGCCUAACACAUGCCAGUCGAACGAAGGCUUCGGCCUUAGUGGCGCACGGGUGCGUAACGCGUGGGAAUCUACCCUUAGGUUCGGAAUAACAGUUGGAAACGACUGCUAAUACCGGAUGAUGACGUAAGUCCAAAGAUUUAUCGCCUAGGGAUGAGCCCGCGUAGGAUUAGCUAGUUGGUGUGGUAAAGGCGCACCAAGGCGACGAUCCUUAGCUGGUCUGAGAGGAUGAUCAGCCACACUGGGACUGAGACACGGCCCAGACUCCUACGGGAGGCAGCAGUGGGGAAUAUUGGACAAUGGGCGAAAGCCUGAUCCAGCAAUGCCGCGUGAGUGAUGAAGGCCUUAGGGUUGUAAAGCUCUUUUACCCGGGAUGAUAAUGACAGUACCGGGAGAAUAAGCUCCGGCUAACUCCGUG
RNAcentral lists this ribosomal RNA (432 nucleotides) under uncultured bacterium. Its description in RNAcentral is "partial 16S ribosomal RNA". It matches the Rfam family "Bacterial small subunit ribosomal RNA", at positions 29 to 507 of the family's 1533-position model. The record is from RNAcentral.